GGGUACCUGCGGAAGGAUCAUURYAGAGUUCAUGCCMGAAAGGGUAGACCUCCCACCCUUGUGUAUUAUUACUUUGUUGCUUUGGCGAGCUGCCUUCGGGCCUUGUAUGCUCGCCAGAGAAUACCAAAACUCUUUUUAUUAAUGUCGUCUGAGUACUAUAUAAUAGUUAAAACUUUCAACAACGGAUCUCUUGGUUCUGGCAUCGAUGAAGAACGCAGCGAAAUGCGAUAAGUAAUGUGAAUUGCAGAAUUCAGUGAAUCAUCGAAUCUUUGAACGCACAUUGCGCCCCUUGGUAUUCCGGGGGGCAUGCCUGUUCGAGCGUCAUUUCAACCCUCAAGCUUAGCUUGGUAUUGAGUCUAUGUCAGUAAUGGCAGGCUCUAAAAUCAGUGGCGGCGCCGCUGGGUCCUGAACGUAGUAAUAUCUCUCGUUACAGGUUCUCGGUGUGCUUCUGCCAAAACCCAAAUUUUUCUAUGGUUGACCUCGGAUCAGGUAGGGAUACCCGCUGAACUUAAGCAUAUCAUAAG
This 524-nucleotide ribosomal RNA is filed under the name Botrytis cinerea. RNAcentral describes it as "eukaryotic LSU rRNA". The stretch from base 171 to 324 matches the Rfam family "5.8S ribosomal RNA". The record is from RNAcentral. Lineage: Eukaryota; Fungi; Ascomycota; Leotiomycetes; Helotiales; Sclerotiniaceae.